This 1246-nucleotide ribosomal RNA is filed under the name human gut metagenome. RNAcentral's name for it is "bacterial LSU rRNA". It matches the Rfam family "Archaeal large subunit ribosomal RNA", at positions 1733 to 2987 of the family's 2987-position model. The record is from RNAcentral.
UGUUCGUACCAAGAACCGACACAGGUGUCCCUAGGUGAGUAGCCUAAGGCGUGUUAGCAUAAUCGUGGCGAGGGAACUCGGCAAAUUAGCCCUGUAACUUCGGGAUAAGGGGUGCCAGUAGUGAGAGCUACUGGUCGCAGUGACAAGAGAACACCGACUGUUUAAUAAAAACAUAGGUCUCUGCUAGUUCGAAAGGAUGUGUAUAGAGGCCGAAGCCUGCCCAGUGUCGGCAUCUGAAAAUCUGUUCCAACGGAUCGAAGGACCGAUAAACGGCGGGGGUAACUAUGACCCUCUUAAGGUAGCGUAAUACCUUGUCGCUUAAUUGGCGACUUGCAUGAAGGCCCAACGAGUGUUCUACUGCCCCCGCCAUGACGCUAGUGAAAACAAUCAGUCUGGUGCACAAUCCAGACCCCUCCAUCUGAAAGCGAAGACCCCAUGGAGUUUCACUGCAACCUGUUGUUGUUGUAAGAAUUGGCAUGUGUAGGGUAGGCGGGAGACGUUACCCAGGAAGGGGCGCUAGCAUCUCUCCGAGUCACCGAUGAAACACCGCCCUUGUCAAUUUUUACGACUCACCUCUCCGGAGGAACAGCUAUAGGCAGGCAGUUCGGGUGGGGCGCCACGCCCUCAAAAAGAUAACAAGGGCGCCCAAAGGUUAGCUCAGGUAGGUCAGAAAUCUACCGAAGAAUGUAAGGGUAUAAGCUAGCUUGACUCGGAACCAGACAAUAGGGUUCGGAGAUAGGAAACUAUGGCCUAGCGAACCAUCCAACCUCCUGAAUGGGGGUGGAUGAUGUCAGAAAAAUUACCCUGGGGAUAAUUGAGUUGUCACGAGCAAGAGUUCAUAUCGACCUCGUGGCUUGCUACUUCGCUGUCGGCUCUCCCUAUCCUGGUGGUGCAGCAGCUGCCAAGGGUGGGGUUGUUCGCCCAUUAAAAGGGAUCGUGAGCUGGGUUUAAAACGUCGCGAGACAGUUUUGUUGCUUUUUGAUGGAGGUGUUGGUACCUGAUGAGAAGGACCCUUUAGUACGAGAGGAACAGGGGUUCGUCGCCUCUAGUUUAUCAGUUGUCUGACAAGGCACGCUGAGUAGCCACGCGGCAGUGGAUAAGAGCUGAAGGCAUCUAAGCUCGAAGCCACCUUAAAAAAGAGGUACCCAUAGAACGCUCGUAAAUGACGAGUUUGAUAGAAGCCGGAUGUAAGUGCCGAGGUUCGCCGAGGUAUUCAGUCCUGGCUUACUAAAGUUCUUUGAACGUC